UACGUAGGUGACAAGCGUUGUCCGGAUUUACUGGGCGUAAAGGGCGCGUAGGCGGCCUGCUAAGUCGAACGUGAAAUCCCUGGGCUCAACCCAGGAACUGCGUCCGAUACUGGUUGGCUUGAAUCCGGGAGAGGGAUGCGGAAUUCCAGGUGUAGCGGUGAAAUGCGUAGAUAUCUGGAGGAACACCGGUGGCGAAGGCGGCAUCCUGGACCGGCAUUGACGCUGAGGCGCGAAAGCCAGGGGAGCAAACGGG
Molecule: ribosomal RNA, 253 nt
Filed under: uncultured bacterium
Lineage: Bacteria
Description: partial 16S ribosomal RNA
Rfam family: Bacterial small subunit ribosomal RNA
Source: RNAcentral